Hordeum vulgare subsp. vulgare (domesticated barley) is the source of this 2691-nucleotide long non-coding RNA. RefSeq lists it as uncharacterized. The transcript has 5 exons. The record is from RefSeq and is a predicted model, not a curated record. NCBI's taxonomy places the organism in Eukaryota, Viridiplantae, Streptophyta, Magnoliopsida, Poales, Poaceae.
CCCAACCCCUCGAUGGCACAAGGUAGAAAAAAAUCACUCGAUCAUGCAAGAAAGAAAUACCCGAAAAACCAGCCCAUGUUUCCAUCCAUCGUCGCUAAAAGAAUACAGAGAGAAUAAACUGCUCGGACAUACACGUCCCACACCAACCUCUUCCCACAACUCGCUCCCGAUCUCAUCUCUCCCCUGCCAAAUAUCGUCGCCGCCAGAGAGAGGAAGGAGCGCAGCGGAGGCACCAAGGAGGAGGGGGUCGCCUCGCUCGCUUUUGCCGCCGACGGUCAUGCCCACCGCCACCCCCACCGCCAUCGCCGCCGCGGCGAGCCCCAAGUCGGGGACACCAGGCGCAGCCACCCCCACCUCACCCGCCGUUGCAGGGAUUGCAAGAGAAGGGCCGCGGGAGCCGGUCGAGGUGGAGUACGUGCCACAGAAGCCCAACCUCGGCGCUGACGACCCUCUCCUCCUCGUUGUCUUCUGUAUCGUCUUUGAAAAAUUCAAUCUCACGGACCACACCGCCGCGACGAGAGCGCCGGUCCAUGUCUUCAGCAGCAACCUCGAAUGGGAGGGACGAGCCACCACACAUGACAUAGGAGGUUAGUGUCUGCGUAUAGAUGACGCCAAGGGCUAACAACGGCAGUGUCAGACUGAUGAGUGACAAGUGCUCCAACGAGCACACCACCAUGAAGUACAUUAAAAAACUUUGCUAGGUUAUGUGUAUGAACUGUCGUGUCAUCGUUAUCGACACACAAUGCGAUAAAGAAGCCACAACACACACCCAUCCAUGAGGAGGUGCUCGCCGGGUCGCUCUCUAGACGCAACAUGAUUGGCGUCGCCUUCACCGUCUCCGGCGAGACGCUCGUAUUCGUGCUUCUCCUCGUCAUGGUGUCGCUGCAGAAGGACAUACCGAUGCCGGCUAAGCCUCACACAAUGUGUGUUCCUUGAUUUAUGUAUAAAUUACAUGCAUUUCUCAAACUCAUUAUUGGAUCUUGUGAUAUUUUAUUCCUUCAUGAUUAUACAUGUAGGAAAUAAAUGGAAAUUACUUAUGGCUGUAGUAAAAAGUAGAUCUAAGUGAGCUUUAGUUUUGUGGGAAGACCUUGGUGGUUUCUUCUUUCUCCUUUUACUUGGUGGCCGCCAGCAAGGAACAUGAAAGCCUAGCCAUUUCAAUUUAGACAAGUUACAUUCGGAUUAUAGGUAUGUUUGACUUCAUCAUAGGAGCUUCGAUCGACUUUUGUGGCUACUAUUUCUGGAGAUGGUGAAUGGAUGGCGAUAUCGACUAAUUCUUUAGCUACUACUAACCUUUGUCAAGUAAAGUGUAGUUGCCAUCAAAAGUUCUUUGAACUUUAACUAGGUAUAUGCAUCUCACCCUUUUCCUCCGUUGCAUUUUUUUGUAUGUAUUGGGUUUGCGUGUUUAUUUUUCAACGGAUCAAGAACAAUCACUAAAACACAAUGAUAAGUUACUCUUGUACCAUCGCAUAUAAACCGUUGAGGCAUUCACAUUGUACACUUCCUGGUUGACAUGCCAAUAUUCUUGUUCUUAUUUACUGACAAUUAUGCCACCCCUAGUGUUUUAUUAGGCUUCAAGAUUUUAUAGGUUAGCGAAGUAUUCAGGAUUCAUGAAGUUUUUCUAUUCAAACAAUACAUGUAUUUGCUUCUGUUGUGUUCUAAGUCAUGUGUUGGUCCUUGACAAUAGUGAAGCCUAUUCUAUAGGGACGACAACAACUUUGAUGACCCUCUCUGUUAUUUUAGAUCUUUGAGGAACUACUUGCAAUCAACUGUGUGAUAACUUCUUGGAGACCAACAAUCAGGCCCUUUUUGCCUAAGAUUUUCAUGCCACAAUUGUAGCUAUGACAUAUUAUAUUAUGAGUGUCAAUGAACCAAUUAACCCCAUAAACUCGUGCUCAAGAUGCCGCAUGUAAUAUAUAUAAAUAUUAUCUUUCUUUUGUUAUAAUUUGGCAGCCAUUUUGAGUGAUUUAUUGUGGAUCAUGUUAUAACGAGUAUAGCACGAAAUUUUAAUGCACUUCAGUUAAAAGGUGUCAUUACAGGUCAGUUUAUGUUACUUUUGUGUGAAGUGUGAUAGUUUCAAGGUUAGUAAUCCUUCCAGUGCUAACUCUUGUACUUAUAAGUCACUGUAAGACACAUAAUGUUUAAUUACCAUCGUUCUCCUUUUGAAUUUUACAGGCUAUUUCUACUUAUUUAAUUGAAGUGCAUGCUGGAUGCAACAAAAAACACCGUGUAGAGUACAUUUACUUAGAUAAUGGUAAUAGUUUGUGGGAUGUGUUGCGUGACUCACAAAGUUCUCCUUUGAAAUCUCCAAAUAAAGCAACCUGGUCUAGCAUUUAUCCAAUUGUUAUAAGAAGAAGGAUCCUGGGAAGAAGGCAGGCAGAACCCGACGCGGAGGAGGGGGCAUCGAAAGUGGGUGCCAAUGGGGAGGAGGCCAUGCUGGAGCCUAGGUUAGCAAACAUUUUCAAUCAUAGGGAGACCUCGUACACAUUUUCACUCAUAGGGCGACCUUGUUGCUACAUGAUUGCGUGGAUGCCGACCACGCUCUAUUCAAUCUGUGUCUUCGUUGACCUCUCUACCUACAAGGUUUCUCAUCACAGGAGAUCUGUUUUUGGCUUGGAUUAUGUGAAAAUGAUUGUGUCGUAAUGCAAUCAUGGUGCCUGUGUAUAUGUUAUUUGAAAUUCUAGCUUAAUCUAA